AGUGAACGCUGGCGGUAGGCCUAACACAUGCAAGUCGAACGGCAGCACAGUAAGAGCUUGCUCUUACGGGUGGCGAGUGGCGGACGGGUGAGGAAUACAUCGGAAUCUACUUUUUCGUGGGGGAUAACGUAGGGAAACUUACGCUAAUACCGCAUACGACCUACGGGUGAAAGCAGGGGAUCUUCGGACCUUGCGCGAUUGAAUGAGCCGAUGUCGGAUUAGCUAGUUGGCGGGGUAAAGGCCCACCAAGGCGACGAUCCGUAGCUGGUCUGAGAGGAUGAUCAGCCACACUGGAACUGAGACACGGUCCAGACUCCUACGGGAGGCAGCAGUGGGGAAUAUUGACAAUGGGCGCAAGCCUGAUCCAGCCAUACCGCGUGGGUGAAGAAGGCCUUCGGGUUGUAAAGCCCUUUUGUUGGGAAAGAAAAGCAGCAGGUUAAUACCCCGCUGUUCUGACGGUACCCAAAGAAUAAGCACCGGCUAACUUCGU
This 490-nucleotide ribosomal RNA is filed under the name uncultured bacterium. RNAcentral describes it as "partial 16S ribosomal RNA". It matches the Rfam family "Bacterial small subunit ribosomal RNA", at positions 29 to 506 of the family's 1533-position model. The record is from RNAcentral.